CAGUCGCCACGGUAAUACGUAGGGUGCAAGCGUUAAUCGGAAUUACUGGGCGUAAAGCGUGCGCAGGCGGUUCUAUAAGACAGAUUUGAAAUCCCCGGGCUCAACCUGGGAACUACAUUUGUGACUGUAGAGCUGGAGUGCGGCAGAGGGGGAUGGAAUUCCGCGUGUAGCAGUGAAAUGCGUAGAUAUGCGGAGGAACACCGAUGGCGAAGGCAAUCCCCUGGGCCUGCACUGACGCUCAUGCACGAAAGCGUGGGGAGCAAACAGGAUUAGAUACCCCCGUAGUCCCUGUCUCUUAUAC
This 301-nucleotide ribosomal RNA is filed under the name uncultured bacterium. Its description in RNAcentral is "partial 16S ribosomal RNA". It matches the Rfam family "Bacterial small subunit ribosomal RNA", at positions 509 to 807 of the family's 1533-position model. The record is from RNAcentral.